UACGAAGGGGGCUAGCGUUGUUCGGAAUUACUGGGCGUAAAGCGCGUGUAGGCGGGUCUUUAAGUCAGGGGGGAAAUGCCAAGGCUCAACCUUGGAACUGCCUUUGAUACUGGAGACCUUGAGUCCGGGAGAGGUGAGUGGAAUUGCGAGUGUAGAGGUGAAAUUCGUAGAUAUUCGCAAGAACACCAGUGGCGAAGGCGGCUCACUGGCCCGGAACUGACGCUGAAGCACGAAGGCCAGGGGAGCAAACGGG
This 253-nucleotide ribosomal RNA is filed under the name uncultured bacterium. RNAcentral's name for it is "partial 16S ribosomal RNA". It matches the Rfam family "Bacterial small subunit ribosomal RNA", at positions 524 to 776 of the family's 1533-position model. The record is from RNAcentral.